RNAcentral lists this long non-coding RNA (793 nucleotides) under Lepidothrix coronata (blue-crowned manakin). RNAcentral describes it as "lncRNA (ENSLCOG00000009294.1)". The record is from RNAcentral. Lineage: Eukaryota; Metazoa; Chordata; Aves; Passeriformes; Pipridae.
GCACCAUCACAGCCCAGAACUUCUCCUGCUGGAAGAAAUGCAACUCCCUCAACUCUUUCCACUGCUCCUGGUCACCCCUCGGCCCUGCUGGCAACACCUCCUACUCCCUGAAUCUCUGGUGAGUUGGGCAUUGUGGAGGGGGAUGGGGAGCCCAUGGGAUGUGUCCUGCCUCACCCGGAUUUGACCUUGUGCCCACUCCCUCCCCAGCUGGCAGCACAAAGGGUGUAGCCAGUUUGAUGCACACAAGAUGACAAACUACAAACUGCCACAUCACAAGCUGUACAUCUUAAACAACGCUGUGGCCUGGGUAGAGGCAAGCUGGGAAGGCCACGUCCACAGGACCCCCAAUAUCACAUUUGUCUUCAACGAGGCCGAAAAGCCAGAUCCACCUCCCUCACGGGUGCCCUUCUCCAAGACUGACGGCCAGCUGAGGCUGCGGGUGCCACGGCCACAGUGCCCUGGCAUGGACCAGCCAGCAGAGCGGGAGGCUCGAUCCUGGAGGGCAGGAGACAGCGGCUGGACACAAUUUUCUUUACAGGUGGAAUGUAUGACCGUGAUGGUGAAAGAUGAAGAUGACUCAGUGAACUGUACCCUGAAGGGGAAUGGCACCUUUGUGGUCCAGCUACGGCAAAAGACCUGGAGCAGCUACUGGAGUGACUGGAGCAGCAACAUCUCUGUUCCCGAGGGUAAGGAAGAGGAGGGGAGGCUGGUGGGAUCCUACCAGCUCCCAAAAACAUUGAUCACUCAGUCAGGCUUGUCCCUCCUGCAGAAAUCCUGGAGAGCCCAGUGCUGA